UACGGAGGGAGCAAGCGUUAAUCGGAAUUACUGGGCGUAAAGCGUGCGCAGGCGGUUUUGUAAGUCUGUCGUGAAAGCCCCGGGCUCAACCUGGGAAUUGCGUUGGAGACUGCAAGGCUUGAAUCUGGCAGAGGGGGGUAGAAUUCCACGUGUAGCAGUGAAAUGCGUAGAGAUGUGGAGGAACACCGAUGGCGAAGGCAGCCCCCUGGGUCAAGAUUGACGCUCAUGCACGAAAGCGUGGGGAGCAAACAGG
Molecule: ribosomal RNA, 253 nt
Filed under: uncultured bacterium
Lineage: Bacteria
Description: partial 16S ribosomal RNA
Rfam family: Bacterial small subunit ribosomal RNA
Source: RNAcentral